Molecule: ribosomal RNA, 372 nt
Filed under: uncultured bacterium
Lineage: Bacteria
Description: bacterial SSU rRNA
Rfam family: Bacterial small subunit ribosomal RNA
Source: RNAcentral
AUACGGAGGAUGCAAGCGUUAUCCGGAUUCAUUGGGUUUAAAGGGUGCGUAGGCGGAAUAAUAAGUCAGCGGUGAAAGCCUGUGGCUCAACCAUAGAAUUGCCAUUGAUACUGUUAUUCUUGAGUAUAGUUGAAGUAGGCGGAAUGUGUAAUGUAGCGGUGAAAUGCUUAGAUAUUACACAGAACACCAAUUGCGAAGGCAGCUUACUAAGCUGUUACUGACGCUGAGGCACGAAAGCGUGGGGAGCAAACAGGAUUAGAUACCCUGGUAGUCCACGCUGUAAACGAUGAUCACUCGUUGUUGGCGAUAAACUGUCAGCGACUGAGCGAAAGCAAUAAGUGAUCCACCUGGGGAGUACGGCGGCAACGCUGA